GAUGAACGCUGGCGGCGUGCCUAAUACAUGCAAGUAGAACGCUGAGGGAAGGAGCUUGCUCUUUCCGGAUGAGUUGCGAACGGGUGAGUAACGCGUAGGUAACCUGCCUGGUAGCGGGGGAUAACUAUUGGAAACGAUAGCUAAUACCGCAUAACAGUAGAUGUUGCAUGAUAUCUACUUAAAAGGUGCAAUUGCACCACUACCAGAUGGACCUGCGUUGUAUUAGCUAGUUGGUGAGGUAACGGCUCACCAAGGCGACGAUACAUAGCCGACCUGAGAGGGUGAUCGGCCACACUGGGACUGAGACACGGCCCAGACUCCUACGGGAGGCAGCAGUAGGGAAUCGUCGGCAAUGGACGGAAGUCUGACCGAGCAACGCCGCGGGAGUGAAGAAGGUUUUCGGAUCGUAAAGCUCGGUUGUAAGAGAAGAACGAGUGUGAGAGUGGAAAGUUCACACUGUGACGGUAUCUUACCAGAAAGAGACGGCUAACUACGUG
Molecule: ribosomal RNA, 497 nt
Filed under: uncultured bacterium
Lineage: Bacteria
Description: partial 16S ribosomal RNA
Rfam family: Bacterial small subunit ribosomal RNA
Source: RNAcentral